Molecule: long non-coding RNA, 329 nt
Organism: Lathyrus oleraceus (garden pea)
Lineage: Eukaryota; Viridiplantae; Streptophyta; Magnoliopsida; Fabales; Fabaceae
Exons: 2
Source: RefSeq, a predicted model, not a curated record
UGCUCAUGUUGGGAGAAGAAUCCUACAAAGACAGCACACUUAUAAUGCAACUUUUGAGAGACAACCUCACCCUUUGGACUUCUGAUGUCCAGGACCAGCUAGAUGAGCCCUGAUUUCCCUUAUAGGUUGACGGGUCGUAUUCUUCCCUCUUGAAGGAGGUGGGCUAUGAAUGUCAUUUAUAUGUGUUGAUUAAGAAUCAUCCUAGUUUAUACAUUUACCGGUAAUCUGUGGUAUAGUGUCAUAUGGACCUGUCUUGUUUUUUUAUGUCUUGUAUGAUUUGGAUCUGUUGUCCUAAUGGGAGAUCAAAUUAAAUUAUAUUGUUGCAAUCA